UGCCUGGAUAACUACUACAGAGUGGGUCCAGACCACCGCUGCCUGCCAUGUAGCUGUAACCCUGUUGGCUCUCUGAGCACUCAGUGUGACAACACGGGUCGUUGUAGCUGCAAACCAGGUGUCAUGGGAGAUAAGUGUGACCGCUGCCAGCCCGGAUAUCACUCAUUAACGGAAGCAGGCUGCAGCUGCAGCGGAUGUGAGUUGCAAGGAUGCCCAGAGGAUGCAGAGAGGCUACAGCAGACGUUUAACGGAUGAUAACGGACAUAGAACGUUUGUUGCUCGUAUAUGUCGCGGAUUUACAUCGUACACGGCGGAAAGUUCAUCCGUUCUAAAAGUUUUGUGCAGCUCAAAACUUUUUGCGCGGAUGAAAUCACAGUGGACGGAUGCUCGAUGGAUAGAGCGUAUGAAGCACGUAUGCAAUGAGUACACAACUGAUGCAUAGCGUUUUCCAACGGAUGGCAAAUAUUUUUUUACGUUUUACAUCCUCUUUGCAUCCGUAAGUGCAGUGGG
Neoarius graeffei (lesser salmon catfish) is the source of this 510-nucleotide long non-coding RNA. RefSeq lists it as uncharacterized. The transcript has 3 exons. NCBI's taxonomy places the organism in Eukaryota, Metazoa, Chordata, Actinopteri, Siluriformes, Ariidae. The record is from RefSeq and is a predicted model, not a curated record.